AACGAACGCUGGCGGCAUGCCUAACACAUGCAAGUCGAACGAGACCUUCGGGUCUAGUGGCGCACGGGUGCGUAACGCGUGGGAACCUGCCCUUAGGUUCGGAAUAACUCCCCGAAAGGGGUGCUAAUACCGGAUAAUGUCUUCGGACCAAAGAUUUAUCGCCUUUGGAUGGGCCCGCGUUGGAUUAGCUAGUUGGUAGGGUAAAAGCCUACCAAGGCGACGAUCCAUAGCUGGUCUGAGAGGAUGAUCAGCCACACUGGGACUGAGACACGGCCCAGACUCCUACGGGAGGCAGCAGUGGGGAAUAUUGGACAAGGGGCGAAAGCCUGAUCCAGCAAUGCCGCGUGAGUGAUGAAGGCCUUAGGGUUGUAAAGCUCUUUUACCCGGGAUGAUAAUGACAGUACCGGGAGAAUAAGCGCCGGCGAACUCCG
RNAcentral lists this ribosomal RNA (431 nucleotides) under uncultured bacterium. RNAcentral describes it as "partial 16S ribosomal RNA". It matches the Rfam family "Bacterial small subunit ribosomal RNA", at positions 29 to 505 of the family's 1533-position model. The record is from RNAcentral.